This 496-nucleotide ribosomal RNA is filed under the name uncultured bacterium. Its description in RNAcentral is "partial 16S ribosomal RNA". It matches the Rfam family "Bacterial small subunit ribosomal RNA", at positions 29 to 507 of the family's 1533-position model. The record is from RNAcentral.
AUGAACGCUGGCGGCGUGCCUAAUACAUGCAAGUCGAGCGCACAGACGAGGAGCUUGCUCCUCUGACGUUAGCGGCGGACGGGUGAGUAACACGUGGAUAACCUACCUAUAAGACUGGGAUAACUUCGGGAAACCGGAGCUAAUACCGGAUAAUAUAUUGAACCGCAUGGUUCAAUAGUGAAAGACGGUUUUGCUGUCACUUAUAGAUGGAUCCGCGCCGCAUUAGCUAGUUGGUAAGGUAACGGCUUACCAAGGCGACGAUGCGUAGCCGACCUGAGAGGGUGAUCGGCCACACUGGAACUGAGACACGGUCCAGACUCCUACGGGAGGCAGCAGUAGGGAAUCUUCCGCAAUGGGCGAAAGCCUGACGGAGCAACGCCGCGUGAGUGAUGAAGGUCUUCGGAUCGUAAAACUCUGUUAUUAGGGAAGAACAAAUGUGUAAGUAACUAUGCACGUCUUGACGGUACCUAAUCAGAAAGCCACGGCUAACUACGUG